Molecule: long non-coding RNA, 1313 nt
Organism: Brassica napus (rape)
Lineage: Eukaryota; Viridiplantae; Streptophyta; Magnoliopsida; Brassicales; Brassicaceae
Exons: 2
Source: RefSeq, a predicted model, not a curated record
UAGUCAUAAAAGUAGUUUCUCAUUUAGUAUAAUUGCAUAAACCAAAAAAAAGUAGCACAGAAUUUAAAUGAAUAUGAUUGAAAAUCUGAAGUAAUAUGCAUAAAAGUUAGGAAUUUAAAUAUUGUACUCAAUAGCAUGAAAACACGAAAACCAAUUUGAAAUCCAGAAGACAUUUCGUAAGGGAAAGGGAAAACCAACAUUGAAGACUUUUUCUCUGCCUUUUUACUCGAGUCACGGUUCAGAACAUACCAUCUCUUAGUGCGACGAGCCAUGUGGUCGUACUGUUUGGUAGUUACUCAAAGAGGAAAAAGAAGCUAGGCAGACCAAACAUAAGUUGGACGAACAAGACUUCUCCAUAUAGACGUUACAACUUACAAACAAGGCAAAGAAAGUACAGCAAAAGGUUUACAAUUUACCACAAAGAGAAUAACACAACAAAACAUGGUACCAUUUGACAAGAGAAACACACUUGCACAUUAUUUAUAACAAAAAAAGAAAAAAAAACUGAUGAUAUAUGCUUCCCCUUUUAUUACCCACCCUGAUCAAAUUCUAAACACCUUAUUCCUCAUGAACUAGACUCCCCUGACAUCGACAUUACUGGGGGCUGUUGCGUGAUUUAUGUAGUAGUGGUGGUGUGAUGGGUUCCACGGGUACGGUCACGGUCAUGCUCACCACCUGUAUGUUGCUGUCCGUAGUAUUGAGCUCUGUCUUUAAUAUCCUGAGCUUUGGUUCCCAGCUUCAUCCUUGCACUGUCCAACUUAUCUGACCCCUGUGGGUGCUCUCCCGUUGCGUACCUAUUCAAUCACACACACACACACACACAUAAAAGUGAACGUCUAUGUUCAAUUAGCCAGAGCUUAUAUUGUAAAAUGGCAACCCCAAAAUCUUUGAUCCGAAGAUAGUGGUCUGAUGCAUACAUGCACACAUGAACACUUAAGAUUUUAUUCACCAGAUUUUUAUUCAUUAGAUGUUUACGUAUAUAUGCUUUUAAGUUUUAGUGUCCUCUCAUGGCAUAUAUGAUUAUUGUUAAAUAUUAUCUUUAGUUAAGACCUUACCUUUUGGUAAGGUGCAGAUAUACAUAUAACACAAAUUGAAAAUUUAUAUCUGUGAUAAUUUUUUUGCUUACUUAUAGAUCCAGGAGAAGACGGUUAUAGCUGCAAUGCCAAACCCACCAGAGGAGAGAAAGCCAGUGAUGAGAAGUGCUACGGUGAUGAGAGCCGGCACGAGGAUUGGGCUAAAGAUAACAAGCAGAGGAGUGGCAACAGUCAAAGCAAUGACUGUUCCGACAAGGGUGAGACUGGAGAGGACAAGAA